Molecule: ribosomal RNA, 466 nt
Filed under: uncultured bacterium
Lineage: Bacteria
Description: bacterial SSU rRNA
Rfam family: Bacterial small subunit ribosomal RNA
Source: RNAcentral
GACGAACGCUGGCGGCGUGCUUAACACAUGCAAGUCGAGCGGUAAGGCCCUUCGGGUACGACGAGCGGCGAACGGGUGAGUAACACGUGGGUGACCUGCCCUUAGCUCUGGGAUAAGCCUGGGAAACUGGGUCUAAUACCGGAUAUGACCUCAUGACGCAUGUUGUGGGGUGGAAGGCCUUGUGCGGCUAGGGAUGGGCCCGCGGCCUAUCAGCUUGUUGGUGGGGUGAUGGCCACCAAGGCGACGACGGGUAGCCGGCCUGAGAGGGCGACCGGCCACACUGGGACUGAGACACGGCCCAGACUCCUACGGGAGGGCAGCAGUGGGGAAUCUUGCGCAAUGGGCGAAAGCCUGACGCAGCGACGCCGCGUGAGGGAUGACGGCCUCGGGUUGUAAACCUCUUUCAGCCCUGACGAAGCGAAAGUGACGGUAGGGCAGAAGAAGCACCGGCCAACUACGUGCCAGC